UUGAAGGAAAGUAUGUUUCAAGAAAAAAAUCUGUGCAAUUGACAUAACAUGUAACCAUAAGUUCCAAGACAUUAAGUGGUUCCUAAUUUUUUGUUAAUUAGGCACCCAAUAUUUUUAUGGACUUGAUUCUAUGUCACAAUUCUAAGCUGACCGUUUUAUCCAGGGCCGUCUCCGAGAAUGAUAAAAAAAAUUUGGGCUCCGGGCGAAACACAAAAAUUGGUAUAAUAUAAACUCAUCAAAUAUAUAUUAAGAAACCACAAUAUGACAUGCUAAUCAUGGGGUUUGAACUCAUGACCUCAAGAUUAUAACCCAAAACAGUAAUCAAUUAAUCAUAUAAUCAUCUUGUUAACAAGAUCGAAGAGUCAAUUAAUUAAAUGAAUUGAUAGUUCAAAACAGUUUAGGAAAUAAAAAAUGCAUGGGAUUAACUGAAAAUUGUUUAGGAAAUAAAAAUGUAAAGGAAGGGUUUAGAACUCAUGACCUUGGUUUUAAAAUUUAAGUAUCUUAACCAUUGAACUAGCUUAAUUUUUUGUUAGUAAAGUCAUUGAUUAAACAUUUAAGAUAACAGUGCUCAUUAGAAAAUCUUGACCCUAAAUUUUUGUUGGGCCCUAUGAACUUUUCGGGCCUUGGCGUCUGCCCGGGCUGCCCAGCCCACAAAGCCGAGCCUGGUUUUAUCUUCACUCGCUAAUUACUGUCUGAUUUUGUAUUAGAAAAAGUUAACAGAGUUUUAUAUACGCAAAAAUCACAUCAACAAAAUUAAAUACGGAUCGAAAAAAAGCUUUUUCGAAAGGUUAACUUCAUUCACAAACACCACCUCUACCCAAAAAAAAAACGGAUCGAGCUCAUCAUGAUCUAUACACAAACCUAACUAAACAAAAAGAAAAAAUAAUAUAUGUCAUUCAUCUUCUUACCGCAUGGUCAAUAUGGAAGAACAGGAACAAUAAAUUCUUCAAUGACAUGCUCAAGAGUCCUAGCAAGAUCGUGGAAGAAAUCAAGGAAGAAGCGUUCGAUUGGGAUGUAAUUAGCUUACAAACUGAUGAAAUAUCUCCUGGAGAUUAGAAAAACAUGAUGUAUUCUUAUCCUUGAUUGUACUCUUGAGACGGAUGCAACGUCAUAGUAACUUGCUAUGUGUCGUAUCUUUCGGUUAAUAAAUAAAGUUCUGUUGUUGCUGU
This 1169-nucleotide long non-coding RNA is filed under the name Helianthus annuus (common sunflower). RNAcentral describes it as "hypothetical non coding rna". Lineage: Eukaryota; Viridiplantae; Streptophyta; Magnoliopsida; Asterales; Asteraceae. The record is from RNAcentral.